Molecule: ribosomal RNA, 253 nt
Filed under: uncultured bacterium
Lineage: Bacteria
Description: partial 16S ribosomal RNA
Rfam family: Bacterial small subunit ribosomal RNA
Source: RNAcentral
UACGUAGGGGGCUAGCGUUGUCCGGAUUUAUUGGGCGUAAAGAGCGUGUAGGCGGCCAUGUAGGUCCGGUGUGAAAACUCGAGGCUUAACCUCGAGAUGUCAUCGGAAACCAUUUGGCUAGAGUCCGGAAGAGGAGAGUGGAAUUCCGAGUGUAGAGGUGAAAUUCGUAGAUAUUCGGAGGAACACCAGUGGCGAAGGCGGCUCACUGGUCCGGUACUGACGCUGAGGUGCGAAAGCGUGGGGAGCAAACAGG